AUACGUAGGGGGCGAGCGUUGUCCGGAAUGAUUGGGCGUAAAGGGCGCGUAGGCGGCCCGGUAAGUCUGGAGUGAAAGUCCUGUUUUUAAGAUGGGAAUUGCUUUGGAUACUGUCGGGCUUGAGUGCAGGAGAGGUAAGUGGAAUUCCCAGUGUAGCGGUGAAAUGCGUAGAGAUUGGGAGGAACACCAGUGGCGAAGGCGACUUACUGGACUGUAACUGACGCUGAGGCGCGAAAGUGUGGGGAGCGAACAGGAUUAGAUACCCUGGUAGUCCACACUGUAAACGAUGAAUGCUAGGUGUAGGGGGUAUCGACCCCUUCUGUGCCGCAGUCAACACAAUAAGCAUUCCGCCUGGGGAGUACGGCCGCAAGGGUGAAACUCAAAUGAAUUGGCGGGG
RNAcentral lists this ribosomal RNA (397 nucleotides) under uncultured bacterium. RNAcentral's name for it is "partial 16S ribosomal RNA". It matches the Rfam family "Bacterial small subunit ribosomal RNA", at positions 523 to 918 of the family's 1533-position model. The record is from RNAcentral.